This 44-nucleotide ribosomal RNA is filed under the name Leptidea sinapis. RNAcentral's name for it is "partial 28S ribosomal RNA". The record is from RNAcentral. Lineage: Eukaryota; Metazoa; Arthropoda; Insecta; Lepidoptera; Pieridae.
UCUGCCUCAUACUUUUUAUCGUUGGCCUCAGAUCAGGGAGGAUC